UGUGACAGACAUUGUAGCCUUCCAAGGCUUGUUUAAACAUCAUGGGAUAAACAAGUCCCAUAGCUCUGGUCCUACAUCAAAACCCUGCUGUCACUCUGCUUUUGUACAGCCUUUUAUAUAUCUGUGGUCACACUGCAGCCCCUGUUUGCACCAGGACCAUUCCACCAGGCCUCUUUGCCUUUAUGAAAAAGGGGCAGAUCUGGGCUAAGCCCAUAAAUGUGCAGUUGGAUAUAUGAAGUCUCUAAACAUUGGUGAUCAGUUCAGCUGUUUAACCUACUUAUCUGGUCUGCUUGUGCUGUCUUAAAGGCUAAUUGCAUGUGACCCUAAUAUCCUCAAAUAUAUACCUAUAUGCUAUACUAUAUUCUUGUUUCUAAAGGGACACAUGAACAAUCUUUCUGAAUGUCAAUCAACAUGUAGUUAGUCUCUUCACUGAAGAAAUUGUAACUAGGUUUUUAGUGGUGAUUAGCUAUGUGUUUAGUAAGAUUCUAAAUGAGAAAUUAAGAAAUUCCCAUUUGUAAUCAGGUGGAACACCCUUCAGACUGGAAUCCUCAAGCAGAUUGCAGUCAGGCUUUCUUAAUUAUUCAUUGUUAUUAUUAAUGCAGAUGCAACUUUUAAUUCCUGCUUGAAUGAGCAUUCUAUAAUAACGUGCUGAGACAAUGCAAGGCUUGACAAUGAGACUAUAGUUUAUUAAUCCAGAACUAUUUACUCAUGUGUACUUUUCAUCUGUUGAACUUCAUUGUCAUCUAUUUAAAAUCUCUAGUCCUUAAAGGCAGUGAUGGAUAAAAUUCACCUAUUCUGUAGAAGUCUGAUUGAUCUCCAUACUGAUUAUUCUCUAUCAUACUGAUAAUUCUUUUCUUUACUAUGAAAGCAUUAAAAUUGCUUGUAAGUACUUUUUAGUUAGAAUGUCAGCUGCUAAACUGAUGAAGUGGCAAAAGACAGCAAGGCUCAUCCUGCAGUGUUUUAAGUCCCUCUGUUUUUAGUGGUUUCAUGCACAUAUGUACUUUUAUGUUUAUUCUACUAAAAUGGGUUAAUUGUAUAAAAUUAGGAUGAAUAUUCACACAGUAUGGUUUCAGAGGCCUAGGGCAGUGGAGCAUCUUUUCUGUCCAGUACACUCUUCAUGACUGAUCAUGACUGCAGUCUUGCAGGUUUGUUGACUCACAAUAUGACUCUGCUUGCCUUAGAACUUGGCUUUACCUCAUUUUUUUCUGUAUUCAGGAAAGGGAAAUGAGGUCUGCACCCUGAGGUCUCCACCUUAACGUUACAUUAGCAGAAUACCUCCUGGGAAAUGUUCUCAAAUCCCACAGUUUGAAUGUAGCUUCACAGUCUCUACAAAGAAACAGAAUACAUUAACCUUCCUGUGGUGCUCAAAGUCAAUUUUGGAGGAGUCCAGUGUUUUCUGUUACCUCUUGUGGGGUGUUAAGUGCUAGAUAAAAUAUGUGUCCAUCAUUGAAACAACUAACAAAGACUUCAAAAUGCUUAGUUUUAUUUGAAUUAGCAUUAUUCUUAAGAAAAGUAAAAGGUGUCUUAUUUAAUUAUAAGUUAGCCUGUAUUUUACUUUCAAAAAUAAUAAUUAAAAAAAAUGGAUUUUGUUGUUAGUGUUUUUUUUUUUUUUUCUGAGCACUUGACAUGUUUCUAUAUUACUGAUGCAAAUAGAAAGAUAGGUGGAAAGAACAUCUCUGCUGCUACCAAAACCAGUACCUAAGUAGGACUGCAUCUUUUUCUUUCUAUUAGCAAUCUCAGUCUGUAGCAAAGUAUUUCAUCUAUAGGAUCAUUCCUAGGGACAGGGUAAAAAGAAUUGGUAUUCAUGAAGACUUCCAAAAUAUACACAUAUUAGUCUACACGAGUGUCCUGGUUUUGGAUGAGAUAGACUUUUCCUAGUAGCAUAUAGAAAUUUUUCCUAGUAGCAUAUAUGGCACUGUGUUUUGGUUUAGGGUGAAUAAUGUUGAAAACACACUGACUUUUCAGUUGUUCCUGAGCAGUAUUGCACAGAGCCAAGGAUUUUUCCGUUUCUUACACUGCUGUGCCAAGGAGGAGCUGGGGGUACACAAGGAGCUUGAAGGGAACAGAACCACUAUAGCUGACCUAAACAAGUCAAAGGGCUGUUCAAUGCCAUACUGCCUUCCCACUUGCGGAAGUCUGUUGGUGGCAGUGGGCUGCCACUGAUCAAGGACUGGCUAGGCAUUAGUCAGCAGCUGGUGAGCAACUGCAUUGUUUUGUAUGUUCUGGUGUGGCUAUUAUUUUCUUAUCAUUUUCUCUGCUAUUAAGCUGUCUUUAUCUCAACUCGCAAGUCUUACCUUUUCUCCAGUUCUCUUCUCUGAUCCCAUUGCAGGGGGAUUAGUGAGCAAAUGGCUGUGUGAUGCUUCGCUGCCUGCUGUAUUAAACCACAAUGCUGGGGUAACAACUAAAUAUAAAACCAUGAUUUACCUUUGCAUUCAUUAAUUAAUUCUUUUAUUUUUUUCCCUCCUAAAAUCUAGCUUGAUUAGUUCUCUGAUUAUUUAUGCUCAUAUUCAUUAGUAUUCUUUCUUGUGUAAUUUGAGAAUAAGGUAACCAAUCUCUAAGAAACAUCUAUACAUUCUAUUUGUACCCACAUUUUCUUUGCUUAAGACUGAUUUACCCCUGUGGUGUAGAUGUGCAGAACUCAAAACUUACUACUGAAAUUAUUUUAAUUUCUAUAAUACAAGUACAUCACAGAAACUGCUUAUUAUGUUUUGUUUUUUGUUUUCAAAGUAUGCAAAUAUUUGUUCCAAAGAAGAGAUUUCUGCCAAGAAGCCCAGCUGAAACAAUGUACCUGAAGGUGGUGUUAGCGUAAAUACGCAGAACAGCAGUCCAAAUUCCUUUACAUAGUCUUGCAGAAAGAAGUAAAAAACUUGAAAUUUGUGCAAAAUGAACACUACUCACUGUUUGUAGUCUAUAUAUAUCAAUGGGCUAAUUGUUUGAAUUUAUUUCAGUGAAAAUAUACAUACCUGAAAAUAAAAGUAUUUUAUAAUAUAUAUAUAUAUAAAAGUAUUUGAAAAUGCAAUUUUCAAAAUUGCAUACUAUGCAAUGCUAUGCUAUGCAUACUUGCAUAGCAGUGUAAUGAGACCAAAAAAUAUGAGACCCAUUUAAUAAAUGUAUAGUCAUGAAAAAGAAAGGUGAAUAGCAUAACGUGCUUUCCUGUGUUCUUUUCAGAAUAUGACAGUAAUAGAAUUGAGAGGACCCAAACCAUGGAAUUUAAGAAAAAGAAAUUCUGCAUUUCAGAACUAGCAUAUAUGAGCAAUGUCUCCCAUGUUUCCCAUCCUUUUUCAGAUGAGGUCUUUCCUCUCUGCCUGCAGUCCCCAUGUCCAGCAAGACUUUCUGGUAUACCAGGAAAGUAAAGUUCCCAGUUCCCAGACUGUGAGCCCAUGACAUGUGGUUGAAGUUGGAUGGAUUUAGUGAAUUAAUGCAGUAGAUCAUUUUGAUAUGUCAAUGACCAAAAACCAAAACAGCUGAAGAAACUCUUCCAUAGCUGCAUAUUGCUUUAUUCAGGCUGGUAUUGAUAUGAGAGGGAGCUAAAUCUACCACUGUAUUCUACAAAUACAUCAGGAGGCUAUAUACUGCUUGAUGUGUCUUGUUGUCCUCUGUACUCCUUGGAAGACCCCCAUGAGGUAUACAUGUGCAACCAUAAAGGUGACAGAGAAAACCCUACUCCUGUACAUUUCAUUUUAAAUAGCAGGUCACUUUAACUGACCCCCGUUAAACAAAUCCUUUGCCUAGUACUCUAAGUUUAAUGAACAUCAUGGGACUAAAUGAUUGAAGACUUUGGAGCAAGUCUAAGUUCAUUAAAAUUCCACAGUCUUCUUCUGCACAGUGAGCAUUUCCAUUACUCAGAUUUACAUGAUCAAGAAUGCUGUACUUUUUACUGUUCCAUAGGUUAAACUUCCCUCCAUUCAUAGUCAAUGAAUUGGAGUAAUGGGUACAUUCUGUGCAUCUCUCCAAGCUUUUCUUGUCCUGAAAUGUAAAUUCAUAAGAAGAUAAAGUUAUAUGCCAGAAUUAGAGAAGACAGUGGAGAAAAAUGAGAUGUCAGCUUCUCAUAUAUAUAAUUAAAUAGUAACCACCACUUGCUGCCAUUAAUUUUACAAGUGAUUUUUUUAGCAACUCUUUGACAUAAAGGGGAAAACUGUCUUAAUACUUUGUAAUAUGAGACCCGUCAAGCAGCUGGAAAAUUUUUAUUUACCUUAUUCUCUAUGACUGGGGUUAAUUCAUUAAUUCCUUCUAGCUGUCUUAAUCCUCUGGAGCUGCUCAUUUUACUUCAGGUCAAAAUAUGCCUGAUAAGAAAGCCAUUUUAAUGCGCAGCCUUAGAAUAAAUCUUACUGCACUGUUACCUUAGUAAUUAUUUUUUUUUUCCUUUUGUUCUUUAAUACAGCAUUUGAAGUAAUGCGAUCUGAAUCUUUGGGAAAUAAAGAUAAUUUCAGAUUCCAUAAACUUUGUAAAACCUAUAAUUACAUUAACAUUUGUUCAAACUUCUGAAACUAGAGCACCUCUCUUUUUGCAGGAAGUAUUAAUUAUGGGCUGGUGCUUUUCCCAGAGCCAAAUGGUGUGAUUUUACCACUGAUCCUAAGGAGAAACUGUCUAUGAAUUUUCAAUCUCAUGGAAAAUAUAAUCUCAUGUACAAAUACAUGUUUUAGAUUGUUGGUUUUUUUUUUGGGACUGGUCCUAAAUGGUCCCAGAAAUGGUCUCAGAGAGCAUACAUUGAUAACAAUAUUACAGAAAUAUCUCUGUGAUCCAUAUGAGUUCCCUGACUGAUCCUGAUUCUGAAUAACCAAACAGAAUAACUGGAAGAGAAUAAAUACAAAACAAUUUGUAAAAUUUCAAAUUAUAUCCCUUAUGCGUAGAAUCGUAGAAUCAUAGAAUCACUAAGGUUGGAAAAGACCCACAGGAUCAUCCAGUCCAACCAUCCGCCCUUCAUCAAUGGUACAUAUCCUUGUAGAAGGACACAUUUUGUUUUAUUUUAUGUCAUGGACUUGUGUCUAUGACAGCAGACAAGGUGUUAUUUGACUUUUUUUUCUAAACACAACUUCUAUAAAUCUUAAGAAUACCAUCCAUUUUUGUAGGGAAAUCAUUAAAAAGUCAUUACAAAAUGACAUGUCUAAGUAAUAUAGGACACUGUGGCUGAGUCAAAUCUGAAAUAUUUUCACUCUCAAGUCCACUCUCUUACUCCUUUGCAAUUGUCUAUUACUAGUUUUUCUAUACAGAAUAUUAUGUGGCUCUGGCAGCCUGGUCUGGUGGAUGGCGACCCUGCACAUAGCAGGAGGUUUGAAACUAGAUAAUCAUUGUGGUCCUUUUCAACCCAGGCCAUUCUAUGAUUCUAUAAUUCUAUGCCACAGCUAUCUUUUCUACACAUCUGUUAUGCUGCAUGUCCCAGUCUCAGAGCUCAGUUUAUUAAUGGUGCACACUUACAGGUAGGAACAUCCAUUUGCUGUGUCUGACUCUGCUCAUAUUUUAUACAAAUUAAAAGCAAUGCAGAAGGCUUGGUGGAGCAUAUGGUUAAUUAUUUUUUCCAGGCACUCGUUAUAUUUUCUCAUAGAGUCACUCUUCACCUACAGAGGGAGCAUAAGGACUCUUAUCAUUGUAUUUUGUCAUACGCAGCAGUCGUCAGUUCUACAUUUUAUUUCUUAUCUAAUACAUUUAUUUCAAUUGUGGAUUCUUUACCAUUCUGGAUGAAUUUCCUUUAGACUUCAUUGAAUCACAGAAGUUACACUUCUAUAGAUGGAAGAAACUUAGAAGUUGUGAGAUCUUUAGGUGUCCCCAGCACAAUAGCAUUGACUCUGUCUUUUUGCAACAGAUGGGAUUCAUUAGACUGAUUAGAUGCAUAGUACAACCUCCCCAGAUAGCACAGACAUGGCUAAAAUAAGAAACACAGGAUUAAGAAAGAGUGGCCAGAAAUUCUUUGGAGUGGAACUGCAUGAACUCCUCAUAAUGUGGUUUAAAAGCUAUUGUUACUGGCUUACUAGUUGAUGUUUCUUGUAUAAUUUCCAUUUUGAGUACUUUGUUCACAGAUUAAAAUAUUAAGAAUUAGUUCUACACACUGUUCCACACAUUGCUAAAGAGCUAUCAACGUCUUAAAUUUAGCAUGCAACCAUGGGAAGAUCACACAUUCCCUUGAAAAGAGAGGAAUCCUUUGUUCAGCCUUCCUAGAAAACCUUAUUAAUAUGGUGGAGAUAGUCUGUUUAAAGAAUUGAUGACAUCUCCUUUCUUUGGUCCAACCAAUUUUGUUAUUUUCACAGAGGAAGUCAAUCAACAAAAAGAGACUACAUUUCCUAUUUUAUUCAUAUAUAAGCUGGCUGGAAAUUUUUUAUCAAUGAUAGUUUUUUUCUGAUAGAAAAAGCAGCUGAAAAAAAAAAUAAUUUCAAAAACUAUUUUUUAUCAGCUUAAGCCAAAUUAGAAUAUUGUGAAAUCUUUUGUGUCUUUUGUCUUAAAGAGAAAAAGUAAUUGAUUUUCUCUAUCAUCCUAUUGCCUUUCAUGUAUUAUAUUUAGGUAUCAGCCAUGAUGAGUAGAAGAAAACAUAUAACACAAUUUGGUGUUGCUUUUCCUCUAAUGUGUUUGGAUGUGUAAGGAGAAUACAAUUGUUCACAUGGGAUCUGGCAUAUACAUGCAGGCAGUCACCAAGUUCUAAAGUUUUGGGGUAGGACUACAAAAAUAUAAUUUUGAAUAGAAUUUAACUGAGUAAUGAAACUAUAUGAAGUCACCUGAGUAAAGGCAAGCUCAAUUUUACUUCAGUUCCCAUCUGGAAACACCCAAACAUGCCACAUUGACUUUUUCCUUAUCUCAAUCUCCAUCCAUUCUGAAUCAGUUCAUUUUGCAUUUUUAUUUCUUUAAAAUAAUAAUAAUAAUAAAUCAGCUAUCAUUCUGAUUUCAUUCAGAAUCUUAAAUCAUUGAAUAAUUAUUCAAGAUGGAAAAUUCUCUUUUUGCACUUCUCUUUAAAAAUUAAGUAAGGAACCCUACAGACACUUCCUUAAUUUCCCUUUACAGUUAAGGAUACUUUCAAUAGCGUUUCCUUCCUUACAGUGAAUGAGACAGAAAUCCCCUGUGAUGGGAUGUUCCAUCAUAAUUAAAGGGGUAAGUGGACAUUUUAGAGCUGAGCAUAAUUCUGGUAAUUCUGAUGUUUGGGUUAGGCCAGAACUACUCCAGCUGAGGUGUUGUGUUUUUUUUUGUUUGUUUGUUUGUUUGUUUGUUUUGUUUUGUUUUUCUAUUUUCUCAUUCUCUAUUUUUCAAUUUUCUCCUUCUCUAUAAGAGUUAACAAGAUAGGGUGAACAAAAAUUCAUUAUGCUUCACUGAAGUUGCCUCUGAAGCCUAGAUGUUGUCAAGUUCUUCCAGUUUUUGCUGAACUCUGGCUAAACCUGGAAGUACUUGGUAGUUUCAUGAGGCAAUUUUGAAGUUAUAGAAAGACUACAAAUUAGUGAUGAGGGAAAUAUCUGUGCAUCAUCAUACUGAAGCUGUGUGACACUUCAUAAAUUAUUGUGAAACUGUUAAAAUGCAUCUCUCAUUUUCAAUAUAAGAAAUAUUCUUUAAACAAUGUCAUAGUCUUAAUAAUUGGACACAAAAGUGGAUUUCAGAUGUCUUAUGUGGAACAUUAUUCUUUAACUGAGACAUUGCAUCCUUUCUAGAGAUUAUUCCAGGGUGUUGUAGUCUACUCAAUAGCCUACCUCAAAAAUCCCUUCUUUGGCAGAUCAUGGGCUUUGAGGGUUUGCUAUUUUAGUCUUUGGAUAUGCAUGAGAACCAUGAGACUAUUUUUUUUUUUUUUUUUUGCCAGAGAACAUCCAGGAAAAACAAACAAAGUACACCACCCAACUCUGAAUCUCAGAAAAAGAUGUGUUGAUUUGGGAAUUAUUCAAUGCAUUGGCUCAAGUGUGAUACUUUCCAGUAUGUUUCCUAGAGCCUGAUUUGUUCUAACUUAACUUCACUCUGAUUCCUCUCUUGCUCAUUCAGUCUACUCAUUUCAUGCCUAAACACCUACCAACCUCAAUGCCUUCUGCCAACUCAUUAUCUGAUCUUAACUUCCAUUUACCUGGUGGCUGCCAAGCAUCACCCUUAAACAGCUUCCCGUCUCUCUAGUCUUAGUCUUCUCUGAAUUUCAGGUAUCCUGACCCAAAAAAUAUAGUUUGGCUUCUUUGCAUUGCCAACAUCCUUUAUUUCCCAACAGUCUAUGUGUAUAAAUCUGUCUUCUCUUCUUGUCUUCUGCUUUUUACAUUUACAUCAGGUUUGUACAUUUCUUGGGCCCAGAAGAAGUGUAUGAAAUAAUGGAAAAUAAAUGUUUCUUGGUCUCAACUAGUGCAGACUCAGAACUACUAACUCUCUAAGAUCAUCUGGGUAUAAGACUUUAGUGAUAAAAUAUGAAUUUAAACUUUGAUAUAAAAGAUUCAUCUGCUAUAGAGAUUUCAAGUCCCAAGCCUUUUUGGACAAUUGUUAUGCAGAUAGAAGUUUUAAUAAUUUCAUUCAGUGUAGUCAAAAUUAUUAUUAUUAUUUUUUCUCAGAGGUUGAAGAUCUGCUGACUUGCAAUUUUUGGAAAAACUUAGUUUUUGCAUGAGAUAAUGUUUCUUUCAGAUCUUUGCCAAAGUAAUGAACUACUGAUCAGGCUAUCUUCGAAUAGCUGUUGUCCUCAGUCACAGUCAGUGCUAUUAGCUAGAUACCUUCCUUUGUCCAUAAAAUACUUAAGCAGUUUCCUCCUUUUCUUUUUCUCCUAAGGCAGCUUUGAAACAUAAGUGAAAUCAACCCUGAAAAUGACUAUAGCUUCAGUUUAAUAGAAGGAAGUGCAAUUAUCAACAACAUCAUUGAAAUGAAGGAUUCUUGGUCGCUCUGUGUUUUGCCACUAACAAUUUUGGCAGUAUAUUAUGAAACAGAGAAGCUGUUUUUUAGUUUGCAAGCAUCUGUAAGUGAUUUUAAAAAGCAGAAGCUCCCCGAGGGCCAGGAGUGGAUCAGCCUGUCCCGAUGCAGCUCAUGGGCACCACACACAGAGUGAAUCUCAAUAUGCAGCCAUAGAGGAACCCAUGGUGCAGCAGUGGAUGCGGCCUGGAAGAGGUACAGCCCAUGGAGCAGGCUCUGAGGAGCAGGCCCCUGCUAGCCUCCUAAGCACCUGUAUGGAAUAGUGCUGCAAGUCUGAUUCUAUUUCUAGGUUUGAUGAGAGAAUACAGGAGCCUGUGGAGUCUGCAGAACUAUAGGCAUGAUACAGCAAAAUAUUCUACACUUCAAGAGCAAUGAAAUUCUACCUGAAAGUGCUAAAGCUCAAAGCUACCAGGAAAUUGUCCUGAAACUGAAAACCUCCAGGAAAUUGAGUGGAGAUACCACAUGCAACAUCCAAGGUAUUAUGUCUUGGUUAUGUUUUGUGGGAUUUAGUGUUGACAAUUUUUAUUAUACCCAGCCACAGAUACCUUCCUCUGAACAAAGAAUUCUGACUAGCCUUGAGGACAAGAAUAACAUCAGGCAUACCAGGAGGAGUUCUCCUACUAAGCAAGAGGUCAGUUGCUCUCUCCAGUAUCCCUACUGUUGCAAAGUACCUGGUAAAGAAAAUCAUUACAGUGGUCCUCCACGUGAUGCCUACAGAGGAUACAACUACAAAUAUCUUGGUGAUAUACUCUUUAGAAGUGCUACUGAAAGGGAGAUCUUCUUUUCGUCUUCCAUGAAGCUAUUUCAGGACAGAAUAUUUCAUAUAACAAAACUCCCAGGGCUCCAAGUCAGCACACUGACUGUUUGGGGUAGAAACGAGGUUUUGUAAAACACUUCAAAACUUACAUUCUAAAUUCUGAAAGUAGCCACUCAUGUAGUGAAGUUUUGCUCUACUGUACAAUCUUUCAGUUGAGCACUGCCAAAUUUGUGUAGAGACGCAAGGACAUAUCAGAAGUAUAGCUCAAAUACUUGCCUGUUCUCUUAUUGAGGAUCAGUGCAGGAUCAGUAUUUCUUCAAAAAAGCUACAGGUCAGACAUGGUCAGUUCCUCACGGCUGUCCGACUUUUACUACUUUAUGGGUCAUAAUACUUUCCAGAUGGAUUGUAUUUCACCACUUCUUUACAGUUGGUCGUAAAAUCUUUGGCUUUGUACUGCAUGCCUCUGCUUUUGCAAUCUGCUACUUUUUUUGCCCUCUUUACUGUACCUAUGGGCACAAAACUCCUUUCACAGAACAAACCAGAUCUUCCUUCUCUGAAUGCAAUAUAAAGAUUUGGAUACAUGCAGAGAUAACCUAAGCCAGCCAUGAUGAAAAUGCCCUUUUUUCUGCAUUUGGUAGAAAAGGCAAGGAGAAGAGUUUUACUGGUGUCUGCUAGUUCUCAGGAGCACCCUUCUGAGAAGACAUUUUUCACAUUGAGAGAAGUCUGGUCUUCAGAGCAAAUGAAAGGGAAAAGGAAAAUUUUAUGUUACAGGGAUUUGCACCCACCCACUGGGUGGAGAAGAAGCCCACAGAGAGAGGUCUUCUAGUUGGAGGAACAUGGUGUUACUGUCAACUCGUGACAUCAAACUGAACAUUUUUGUCUUUGUUUAAAAUGUUGUUAAUGUAUUUAGUUAAAAAGGAAGCUGCUCUGGGUUGUUUGGAAACUGAAGGAAAAUAAAAAGUCUUCUGUGCUUUUCACAUUCUUCUUUAAAAUUUAUUAGUUUGGUUUAUAAUCACAUGAAAAAUGUGUGGCAAAUGAGAGAGUUUAAAAUAAAGAAGAAGGAACUC
Molecule: long non-coding RNA, 10662 nt
Organism: Gallus gallus (chicken)
Lineage: Eukaryota; Metazoa; Chordata; Aves; Galliformes; Phasianidae
Exons: 4
Source: RefSeq, a predicted model, not a curated record